RNAcentral lists this long non-coding RNA (270 nucleotides) under Homo sapiens (human). RNAcentral describes it as "HSALNT0057898". The record is from RNAcentral. Lineage: Eukaryota; Metazoa; Chordata; Mammalia; Primates; Hominidae.
AUCAGCAUGUUUUUCCUCCUCCAGGAGACAUUCCUCCGCGGAUCAGACCAUGCUCCUUCCACAUUGAAAGCCUGUGCUCACACUUUGAAUAUGUUGACUGAAAGACCUUCAUGAGCCGGACACGCUCCUUGGUGUUACACUUGCAGGAGUUGCCGAUGGAGGCCUGCAGUACUCUCGGAGUUGUUGGCAGCUUUAAAGGGCACUGAUGAGAAGAUGGAGAAGGACAGGAAAAAGACAGAUUCAACCUGUGGCAGAGAGACACCACAUAGA